Molecule: long non-coding RNA, 4372 nt
Organism: Zea mays
Lineage: Eukaryota; Viridiplantae; Streptophyta; Magnoliopsida; Poales; Poaceae
Exons: 3
Source: RefSeq, a predicted model, not a curated record
UGAAGUAAUGGAGGAGAUUAGGUUGGGGCCAAAAGGCGGUCUCAUGUACUGCAUGGAGUAUCCUAUUAUUUUUGCAGUGUCUUUGUUCAUUCUAUAGGCUGCCAUAUAAGCCCAUCGUUUCCUUUGGCUUUUUCCAUACGUGAUUAGCCGUACCUGAUUUUGUCUCCAUUCAUGUUUGUGGUUCGCUUUAUUACUUAACUAUUUUCUGAGGUAUAUUUUUUUUUGUAAAAAACGGAUUAUAGAUCUGUCAUCCUUGUAUAACCAUCUGGUUUCUACAUAAGUUUGAUAUCUAACACCAAGGCCAGACAAUGAUUGUAUAACCAUCUGGUGUCCGUAUAAGCUUUGAAAAUGUCAUCCUUUUGCAAGCGAUCAAAUAUCUUCUAGCAUUAUUAUUCAGUUGGCAAGACUGGUCGCCAGAAGCUACUCAAGCAGAAAGGAUGUGUUGUUUGCAUCACGGGCCUUUAGUGCUUCAGGUAACCAAACCUUGCUUUUUCUCAAACUGGUUUGUUGUGUUAUAGAACAAAAGGAAGAAAAUUACAGAUUGUUACAGUAUUCCUGGAAGAAAUACUUCCAUUGCUGGACCAUGGGUUACUUAAUAAGUAGAAUUUCUGGGCUCCUAAUAAAGUACCAUAAUGUUCUGUUAGGACUAUGUUUUUAUGCAGCAUAAUCAGGUUAUGAAGCACGAAUUGUACAUCAGCUUUCAAGUGCCAAGUUCAGUUACCUUGAAUAUUUUAAGUAAUGGUAUGUUGAUUCCACUUUUAUUAGUUCUUUGAGUUCCAUUUCCAGCGCUGAUCUUGAUGCCUAAUCAACUAUUGAGAGCAGACAGCCAUGAGCCUGAGACAAAUGGAAAUUACAAAUUAUUGCAUGGAUUAUUAAUCAUCACAUGCCAUAGAUAAAUUCUUGUUGAACUCAUGUGAUAUUUAUGUUCUGAAAGAUGCUUUAGCUUUCAGUUUGUAUACCUGAGCAGAUACUUCCUGAUUAACUUUUCCCAUGAAAUCUUCACCAGCUCUAUACUUUACCUUUUAUAUCAAAGAACUUCAGUUGUGAUAUCGGAAACCCAUCUUUUCAGUGGCACUUGGUGCCAACCAUGGAGUUCUUCACCAUGAACCUUUCCUGUAUAAUUUAGGACCCUAUCACUAGUGCUAGUCAUGUUAGAGCUUAAUGUGCAUCACUAUCUCAUGAAAGGCACAUGCAUCACUAUCUCAUGAAAGGCACAUGCAAUUUAGGACCCUAUCACUGUCCAUUGUCGUCUCGCCACCGAAGUGCAGCACACCUCAAUGAGAACUUAUUCUAUAAGAUAAGUGAUAAUCUAGUUAAUUUAGCUAAGCUGGACAUAAUCGUUUAAGCCGUUACUCCCUCCCGACCGUGGCGCCCACUCGGUUUUUCUUAGUGCGGUGAACAUGUAAGGGAAUGAAAAACAUAUAGAACAACUUAGGAUAGCAACCCAUAACUGAAAACAUAUAUAACAAAAGUUAUGGUACCCCAAGGUAUAGCCAAAACCUCUGAAAUGUCGAGUUCCAAAUGUCUGAAACAGCAUAACACCCACCUGACAGCCUAACAUUGGAAUCCACUUUUCUCCAAAUUCUCAGUGACAACAGGCUGAUUUUGAUUCACAUAAUUUGCUCACCUAACACAGCUCUACAAGUUUGUUGCAGUAUCCUAAGGCCAGAUGCCCAUAAUUCAAGAGUUAUGGUGCUCUAAAGUUGGGCAAACCUCACUGAAACAUAGUUUCAGUUUAACUGAAACAGCACCUACAAAGUCUGACAGAGAAUUUUGCAGCAGGCUAUUCUCUAAAUUCCAUACAGUAGCAAGCCCAUUCUUUGCACAAAACUUGUUCAUCUACAUCUGGUCUCUCAUUUUGCUACAGAAUCUUAACCCAAAUCGCUUUGUAUUUAUUACCACAAGGCCCCAAAGUUGGGUAAAAACACACAUAUUCAGACUUAAAUAUUGUUCUAAGUCUGAAUCCUAACACCUGACAGUUCACAUUUUGGCCACCUUUACUCCCAAAUUUAUGUGGAACCAGGUCCAUCUCCCUUUAUCAAACUUGUUCACUUUACUAUGGUCUACAACUUUGCUAUGGAACCAUUAGUCUAAAUCUACAUGAGUCAGUCACAAAUGGGCUCCAAACUGAGCACCUUUCACUGAAAUUCAGUUUUCAAUAACUGAAUAUAAUUCAGUUUCAGCCACAACACAGUGCCACUUUAAGCAGUUGUUACUCCAAUUCUUGUAUGGGAUCAUGUCCAUCACCCUUUAAGGAAGUUGUUCACCAAUAUAUGGUAUUUAAUUCCUCUACAAGCACCAUAGUCUAAAACCUUAUAGAACAGUCACAAAUGAGCUCCAAAACAGCCAUCAAUACUGAAUUCCAGAUUCAGCUACUAUUCACAAUCUGAAAAUUCAGAAACAUAGUAGCACCACUUUGAACCACUCUUCUUCCUGGGUUCCAAAUGCUUCUAGGGCAAGUUUCUUAAUAAAUUUUAUACUCCUAUAGUUCCUCUACAAGUUUUAUAUAGUGACCAUUAACCAAAGCCUCUUGAAUUCCAAACUACAAUAGCCCAAAGUUUGCUCCAAAUGCUGAAAUUCAGACUCUGAAUUUCUACCAAGUCUGAAAUUCAGAAACUCUGUUAGCUCUACUUUGGACCAGUUUUUCUCUAAGUUCCAAAUAGUUUUAGAGCUAGGUGACUCAACCAAACUUAUACUCUUCAUGUAGCUCUAUAACUUUGUUAUAAUGACCACCUUCAAAAUGGUUUUAGAUCAGAAGUUGCAAGGGUUCAAAUUUGACUAGUUUAUAUUAUUUUCAGCAAUUCUAAAAUGAACCCAAAGCUGAAUUUUUGUACUUAACUCCAAAAUCUUCCACACAACUUGGGAAUCUCCAAAUAAGAAACUUAUUCACUUUUCCAAGCUCUACAACUUUGGUAUAUGAACUUUUAACCAGUCCUUUAUAGAUUUUAAAUUCCACUUUUGGGCUAGUUUAGGGUUUCAAAUUUGACUCCUUCUCAUCUAUUGAUUUACCAACUCAAUCCAUACUCCUAAAAGACAAGUGACUCCUUAAUCUCAAAUCCAACUCUAGUAUAUGAAGCUUAUGUCAAAAGUGUCCUUGGUUUAGGAGUUGUUUUGUUUAUCCACAAUUCCAAGCAAGGUUUUGAAAUCUCACUUAAGGUUUUUAAGGUUAAUCCAGUUCCUCAAUUAAUUCUUCCACUUAACCCACCUUUGAAAGCAAAGUUGCUCUAGGUCCUAAGUCUUACCUUUAAUACUUUAAAUUCCAUGCCAACUUAUUACUUGCUCAAGAGUCGACUUUUCUUCCCAUGUCUUAAGCAAAGUUCUUAAUCUGAGCCAUAUACUCUAAUACACAACACCAUAUUCAUUGAAAAUUUUUGACCUAGUGAAUGCAUUCUAGGUGUAUCAAGCAAGUUAAUGCAAAUGCUUAUGAUGACAUGUCAGAGUUUUAGUUCAUGUAACACCAGGGGUGUUACAUAAACAAACAAAACAUGACACAAAAUUUGACUGUUUCUUGGAUUGCAGAUAAACUACGCCUCUGCUCAUGACAAUGAAACACUAUUUGAUAUUAUUAGUGUAAAGGUAUGGAACUUAUCAGGAUAUCCAGGAAAUUUACUGCAAUUUAUUUAUUUUGGUAUCAAUUAUCAAUCUGCCAAUCAAUCAUUUUCUUUUGCUUUCUUCAAUAAACAUUUAUUGGCAAGACAGAUUAGCAUGAAUGUUUUGUUACACUUUUUUUUACUGCUUGCAGUAUUUUCUACCUUUUGAAAUUAUGCUUUAUAGUUAUAAACUAAACAUGUAUUUAUGUGACAAUUUAGUUUUCCAGAAACAGUUUUCCUCUUUAUUUCAGAACAUGAUCUGGUACUUUGUGAAGUUUUUUGUUUGUUUGCUUGUGCAGACUCUGAUGAACCUCUCAAUUGACGAGCGAUGCAGGAAAAAUAAUUUGUCCACAAGCAUGAUUGCAUUAUCCCAGGUUUGAACUUAGAAGAUGGCCCUGCACACUCUGCCUCGACGUCAUCUUCACCAGAGCAGACUACUGAUGUUGAUGGAAGUACCACUGGUGAUGUCACCUUCUAAGUAUAACUUGGGAUUUCGGCUCUCAUCAAGUGACUCCUCCCCCUCACGUUGACUUUGCGGACAGAUGUCUCAAUUCUAGUGGUGGAGCUACGAACAACAAUCCGAUGUCCUGAUCGAGAGCGAUGGAGCUAAUGUUUGAACUUGUGAACUAUGGAUGUGAACCUGUGUGAAUUUGUGAACUUAUGUAUUUGGACUUAUGUGAAUUUGCGAACUUAUAUAUUUGGACUUAUGUGAAUUUGUGAUAUGAACAUAUAUCAAUGUGUUUGAAAUCUGUAUUGUAUGUGAUAUAUUGUGUUGCAUGUGA